Long non-coding RNA from Sciurus carolinensis (gray squirrel), 2314 nucleotides. RefSeq lists it as uncharacterized. The record is from RefSeq and is a predicted model, not a curated record. NCBI's taxonomy places the organism in Eukaryota, Metazoa, Chordata, Mammalia, Rodentia, Sciuridae. The transcript is spliced from 4 exons.
GCAUGAAGAGAGCGGAGGCUUUAUCUGCUAGAUUUAUUUUAAUGAGGCACCCAUUCACCGUUCGCUCCAGGACAGCAUUCAGUGAAGGUCGGUGGAGUCGCAGAGCUGUCGAAAACGUGAGUUGGAGGCUGUGGUUGUCCGAUUGACUAGGGGAUGGCGCAGCUUUAGCGGCACCGGCACCGGAAGUGAAGGGGCCGCAGGCGGCCAUGGUUAAACAGUUGUGUUGAAGACAGCAGAACAUCUCAGUGACAAACAGCCUAAGGUAUUACAGAGAAUAAGACUGGUUUUGUGAGGAAAUGAAGCAGUGUGUUCCAGUUUUGAAAGACCUGGAUUUGCUGUGUUGAAAAAUCCCAUUUCUGGUUCCAUUAGGAGUGACAAAAACAGAUGGAUUGUCUUAUCAGAUAAGUUAUUUUAUAGUCUUAAGUACAUUAUAUUAUGUGGACUUUCUAAACCAGAACUUGUGUUCUUUAAAACUUUUUUUUAUUUUUUUAUUUUUUAGGUACCGGUAUCAAGAUGAUUUACAGCAACAAGGUAUUCAGUCUUAAAAUAAACAAACAUUGUAUUCAUGUCAAAGUAAAACAUCAGCUUUUUUUCCUGGAGGCUUGCUAUUUUUCAGUGGUAUGAUUACAGCAUGCUCAUACAAUUAAACUUAAUAGUGAAAAUCUCGUUUUUCUUUCAUAUUAGCUGUCAAGCUGGGUGUAUCUGUUUUAAAUUCAUCUGAUAUUAUGGCAAGUUUACAUUUCUUUAGUACCAGUGUCUUCUCUUUCAAAAAGGGGUUAUUAGCUGUACUGCUAGGAAAUUAAAAUUUUGUACCCAUAGCAUAGUAAGUGAAGAUUUAGGACUGGCCCUAGUUGACUGAGGGAUAAUCAAUUUCUGUCUGAAAAUAGAUCCAAUUUAGUUUUAUUUGGGUGUUUGUCCAAGGCCAACACUUAUUAUGUCACUUUCUGCUAGGUAUGAGUUGUAAAAUGUAGCAGGUAAUUUUAUACUAUAGAAGUCAUGAUAUCACAAUACUGGUUUUGAAUUGUUAACUCUUCAGGUAUAAUGAUAUGCUAUUUAUACUACACAGAUGCUUAAAGUCCAGGAAUACCCUGCAGCUAAACUCUCAGUGACUAGAUUACCUUCUUAGGAAAGCAUAACAGUUGAAUGGAGUGAUGCUGGCAUGAACCCAAUAAAGGGUGUGUUUACUCAGCCUGAGUUCAGAUUGUUCCUGCUCUGAGUACAGCUGUUCAGGGUACAAUUGUAGUUUUUUCAGGCCACAAUUCUAAUUUUUUUCACUUAGUAACAGUUUUCUUUACACAGCACUUUGAUAUAUAUUCUUUCUUAGUUUUGGCAUAAAAGCUAUUGGGUGUCUGGUUUUUUGUUGUUAACCUUACAGAUAAAGACAAAGUGACAGUAGAAAUCCUUAAAGCCACUGCUCUUUACCACAAUAAAAGGAAAACAGCAAAAAUGUUUUUGACUUCUCAGAUAAUCUGUCUUUCUAAAAAUAUUGAAAACAUCUUUCUUCUGCAUCACACCUAAAAGUCAACUAUGGUUGAUGACCAACAUAUAAGAACCAAACAGAAUAUGAUCUUUAAACACUGAAUGUGAUAGAAUGAGGACCUGAUCUGAAUUCAUCUUAUUCCAAAGCCUCAUUUUACAGUAUUUUAACACUAAGUAAAUGUCAUUGAUUACCCCUCCAAUUAUUUCAAGCAGAAAUUAACCAAACUUCAGUGGCUACAAGACAAAAAUUUAAUGAAAAUUGGUCAGUGACUGUGUGUAAUCCAUGGGGCUAAAGUUACAUGGGACUGUUACAGAAAUUUAUAACAGAAUAGAUGCUGAAGUAAAUGUUACAUGUUAUCAUCAUCUGAUUCAUCUUCUUCCUUCAAAGAUUCCUGUUAAGAUAAAAAUGUUUAUAGUUGAUUAAUAUCAUUAUGUUCCCACCUACUAGCACUCAUUAUUAAAAAUUUAUCUAAAAAGUUUAUAACUAAAAAAUGAAUACCUCCUUAGAAUAAGAUACCCAAGUAAAGGAUAAUUCUAGACAAUGCCUAUAUCCUUGAUAAAAUAUAUACAAAUGAAAGCAUUAUAUGUCCUGAAAAACCUGUGUACUUUUCACCAAAAACAAUUUUUUGUAACCAGGAUGCAACUUUACCUCCACUGGAGAUAACCUAGAAAAUGUCUAUACUUGGUUCUACUCUUCAGUGUUUUAUAGAAAUCAGGCAAGUUCCUUUAUUAUCACUACAUGAUUUUAGUUAGAAGAGUUUUUAAUGCUGAAGCUUACCUUAGCAUAUUUCUCUGCUUCUUCCCUUAUAUCUUUUGGAACAAUUUCAUGUCUUCC